UCGNGUUUUUCAGCAAGAUCGUGCCAGCAGCCGCGGUAAUACAUAGGGUGCAAGCGUUGUCCGGAAUUAUUGGGCGUAAAGAGCUCGUAGGUGGUUCGUCACGUCNGAUGUGAAACUCUGGGGCUUAACCCCAGACCUGCAUUCGAUACGGGCGAGCUUGAGUAUGGUAGGGGAGUCUGGAAUUCCUGGUGUAGCGGUGGAAUGCGCAGAUAUCAGGAGGAACACCAAUGGCGAAGGCAGGACUCUGGGCCAUUACUGACACUGAGGAGCGAAAGCGUGGGGAGCGAACAGGAUUAGAUACCCUGGUAGUCCACGCCGUAAACGGUGGGCACUAGUUGUGGGGACCUUCCACGGUCUCUGCGGCGCAGCUAACGCAUUAAGUGCCCCGCCUGGGGAGUACGAUCGCAAGAUUAAAACUCAAAGGAAUUGACGGGGCCCCGCACAAGCAGCGGAGCAUGCGGCUUAAUUCGGCGCAACGCGAAGAACCUUACCAAGGCUUGACAUAUACNGGAAUAUGGCAGAGAUGUCAUAGCCGCAAGGUCUGUAUACAGGUGGUGCAUGGCUGUCGUCAGCUCGUGUCGUGAGAUGUUGGGUUAAGUCCCGCAACGAGCGCAACCCUCGUCUUGUGUUGCCAACAGGUAAUGCUGGGAACUCACAAGAGACUGCCGGGGUCAACUCGGAGGAAGGUGGGGACGACGUCNAGUCAUCAUGCCCCUUAUGUCUAGGGCUGCGCGCAUGCUACAAUGGCCGAUACAAAGGGCUGCGAUACCGCNGGUGGAGCGAAUCCCAUAAAGUCGGUCUCAGUUCGGAUUGAGGUCUGCAACUCGACCUCAUGAAGUUGGAGUUGCUAGUAAUCGCGGAUCA
This 864-nucleotide ribosomal RNA is filed under the name uncultured Actinomycetes bacterium. RNAcentral describes it as "bacterial SSU rRNA". It matches the Rfam family "Bacterial small subunit ribosomal RNA", at positions 478 to 1351 of the family's 1533-position model. The record is from RNAcentral. Lineage: Bacteria; Bacillati; Actinomycetota; Actinomycetes.